Molecule: long non-coding RNA, 3339 nt
Filed under: Patiria miniata (bat star)
Lineage: Eukaryota; Metazoa; Echinodermata; Asteroidea; Valvatida; Asterinidae
Description: uncharacterized LOC119734769
Source: RNAcentral
UACUUUCAAAUUCGAUUAUCCCAUGGAAUUGAUUAUGUAACCAAACCUAUUAUUGACUGUAUAAAAACCUGGCCCAAGCUAAGUUUGGCACAAAGGGCACUUGAGAUGCCAAACGUGCCAUUACAUCACAUCACAUCACAUCACAUCACAUCACAUCACAUCAACAAGCUUAGUUUGUAUGUGAUCAAGAGGCGUGUGGUCGGCAUAUGGAUUCGGUCUUGUUGCAUGUAAUAAUAAAAGGACGGACAUUUGGUGCCUUCAACUUGCCGAGUCCGUGUUUUGUCACGUUGCGGAUGGCCGAAAAUUUGUUAAACGUUAAUGGCGGAAUAUCCAAAUCUACACAGCGUGAGCAAGGGGGCUGCGCAGGCACAGACCCGCUGGAGUGAAAGCUAAUAAGGAGAAAAUUAUGACGCUUCAGAAAAGGCGUUGCCGCAAGAUCGUCUGUACCUUCAGUUGCGUGGUUCGUCGGACGAAUGGCAGAGCACGUUAAAUUUUACCUUCACAAGUACAUUGUACGUCCUCGAGGCCUCGGUUCAACGUGUAGCGCUACACAGUCCGGUAAAUUGAACUUUUGAUAUGACCUAGAACAAAUUGCAAAUAGAAUUUAUUUUCAUGCUAUCACGCUAAGGAAUCUAAUUUCAUCAAAGGAGUGGAGUUGUUUUCGUUUUUUUUUCCUUCACUUUUUCGAUUCUAAUGUUUCAUCAUCCGUUAACAGUCAUAUGGAGGGCGUCAUGUUUUUGUUGCCUUGCUUACCUGUCAGAAUAUCCGUUCGCAUUCACGUAUGACAACUUCGCGAAACACGACUGACCACAGCAGACGACUUUCUUUGUCUAACAAUAAGGCCUGAGACGUAGUGACGUCAUACUUUGUAGUAGACGGACCCCACUUUAUCUGGCAACCCAACUUCGCUCCCAUAAGGAAAGCGCACAUGUAAAACAAGCCAUUACGUCAUUACGUCUCCGGUCUAUUAAAUUUAACACUUGUUAUCAAAUACUACAGGAUAUUUCCUUGGAAAAAAAAAAAGAAAUUUGAUUAUAUUUUCCCGUCCCAACUAUUUAUUGGUUUCAAAUAAAUCUCGUUGUGCUCAAAUUAACCAUUUGUUUCAGGGAAAAUCCAUACAUGAAGAGAUCCAUUUAAAGUUAAAAUUUAAGUGUCUACGCCAAUAGGCCAGAGUCCGAUUUUAAUUAUUACGGAAAACAUCCAAAAUACCAGAUUCAUGUGAUCGUUUUGUGAUGAAUUUAGGUCGUUGGCAUAACGUAAAAGCAACCUAUACAUUUUAAAGAAUAAAUUUAUACUAAAAAAAAACCGCUGUGAUGACAAAUAAACUGGAUUACAACUUGCAGUGAAAAUUAAGCUGAAUUCUGGGCCUGGGCUUUGGAGAAAAGAAAUUAUUUUGAAAAUUUUGAUUAUUUUUGAAAACGUGCCGGGGGGGGUGUGGACCGUGCCUUUGAAAUAUUUUUUUAAGUAAUAACUUGCGGUCUGAUCCGAAGAACCAUUUCGUCGAGACUCCAGUAUAUGCUUUUCUUGAGUAGGCCUAGUGCAUUUAACUCUUGACGGGUACAAGCAGAUGACCCAAUCAAUUUUCAUACCUCGAACAGGAUCUUCAAAAUUUUGCUGUUUAAAUUACAAAAUGUACUUAUAAAAAAUGUGUUUCUCAUCAAUCUGAAAGACAUUUUUGUUAUAAUUGUGAUCAAAGUGUUUUGAGAUGUUUUGUUUCAUAUUUUCAAGUACUAACAGUACGUUUGUACUGUAAGCAACACAACCUUAGCCCAGUACACGUCUAAACUUUUUUUUUUUUUUUUUUUUUAAUUUUCCGACGCAAUGUCGUCUGCUUGCACUCGCAACUGGUCAUGAAUCCUAAAACAUUCGCUUAUACAGGGUGUUUGUAAAAAAAGAAAAGAAAUGGAGCUUAUUUUGAUGAUUUCUCGAGUAUGACUAUUUAUUUAGGAAAAUGGAAACCACAACCUGUUACAUAACCAUGUCAUUUACCGUCUUUUUACUAAGUGAUGUAUCUGGCAUGCCAGAAAUGGCCUUGGAGCACACAUGCACCAUUAGACAAAUUGACAGUAGUUAGCAUGUUGAACAUAACAAAAUCCAGGACGUACAUACAUUAUUCAAAGUCAUUUAUUCAAUUGCCUCCGAAGUUCUCAUUGCUGUGAACACAUUCCUGAUAUCGUAUUGAGUCAAACUCGUUGAGCGAUACAAAAGAACAAAAGAACAUUCUAAGUGACAGGAUAGGGAACAAUAAAGUGAAAUUGUAGGUGUUGAACCUAUAGGUGACAUAUGACGUGAUAAAGAAAUGCAUUGGAAAUGUUGUACAUGUAACGUGUAUAGUACACACACUGUAGUGCUCAACUCAAAUUUAUGUUGAAAUCUUUCGGCAAAGUUUGUCAACCAUUUUUUUUCUAUCAAUCAAAUUAAAAACACAAGCAAAUCUCUGUUUCUUUGGAGCUCUAUCGUCGUAAUUGUAUUUGUUUAAUCAUCGAUAAAUAAAAAAAACUUAAACAAAAUAAAAGACUUGUUAUCAAUUAUAUCACGUGUUUAAAUAAUUACAAAUAAAAAUGUAAAUGUCUUGCAAAAACUUGCUUAAAUGCUGAGAGGACUCCCGCACUAGACUAUUAUGUGCGCAUUCUGUUUGCUUUACCGACUAGAUUAUUUUCAAAACACAUCAUGUACAAUUAAUGUACAUGUGUUUGCCAAAUUGCUUCGAUAGAGAGAUUCCGGCAUUCAGCAGGCAUUGUGCCAGACAGCUUUCAUUAUAAGAGAUCCUCUUUUGCUAUUUUGUACUGCUCAACGAGUUGGAAUCCUCUUGCAUUGUUAUCAUGAUUAAUACAAAAUUGAAAAAUUGAAUAAUAAAAGUGAAGACGGUAGCGAUGGGUUGUAACUGUGGGUGGAUGAGCAAACCUUUUCUUUGGCUGAGACGUAAAUGCCCGUCCUGCGUACGUUCAAAGCGAAUGAACACUUUUACAUCCCCUGCACUUACUCGUGCAAGCACGACAGCGUUCAUUUACCUCUCACGUAUCUUCUCGAGCCUGGCCCAAGUCACUUGGGUUUAAGUAUCCCAUAAAGCCGUGUCCGAAACGGGCUUCCACGGCUAUGCACGGAGCUACGGCUACGAAUUAUUGUUCCACUUCCGCACUUUUGUAACAAAGUCUAUAAAAAGUCAAGAUUUGAAAUAUUUCUCAGUCCCAGAUUCAUGUCUUAUUAUCAUUUUUGCAAUAAAUGACCUUUGUUGAGAUGAUAUAUGAAGCAGGUUGCAAAAUCCCCCUCCCCCCCAAAAAAAAGACAAAAAAUAAGAGGUGAGAAGUCAUAUUGUUGUAAAUUUAAUGGGGGGGGGGG